GAAUAUUGGACAAUGGGGGGAACCCUGAUCCAGCCAUGCCGCGUGUGUGAAGAAGGCCUUUUGGUUGUAAAGCACUUUCAGCGAGGAGGCGGAGCUCUUGGUUAAUACCCAAGAUGCUUGGACGUUACUCGCAGACUAAGCACCUGCUAACUCUGUGCCACCAGCCGCUGUAAUACAAAGGGUGCAACCGUUAAUCGGAGUUACUGUGCGUCAGGCGCGCGUAGUUGGCCGAUUAAGUCAAAUGUGAAAUCCCCGAGCUUAACUUGGGAAUUGCAUUCGAUACUGGUUGUCUAGAGUAUGGGAGAGGAUGGUAGAAUUCCAGGUGUAGCGGUGAAAUGCGUAGAGAUCUGGAGGAAUACCGAUGGCGAAGGCAGCCAUCUGGCCUAAUACUGACACUGAGGUGCGAAAGCAUGGGGAGCAAACA
RNAcentral lists this ribosomal RNA (424 nucleotides) under uncultured bacterium. RNAcentral's name for it is "partial 16S ribosomal RNA". It matches the Rfam family "Bacterial small subunit ribosomal RNA", at positions 359 to 774 of the family's 1533-position model. The record is from RNAcentral.